This 1146-nucleotide ribosomal RNA is filed under the name Enterobacter hormaechei. RNAcentral's name for it is "partial 23S ribosomal RNA". It matches the Rfam family "Bacterial large subunit ribosomal RNA", at positions 160 to 1302 of the family's 2925-position model. The record is from RNAcentral. Lineage: Bacteria; Pseudomonadati; Pseudomonadota; Gammaproteobacteria; Enterobacterales; Enterobacteriaceae.
GAAUUCAUAGUCUAGUUGGAGGUAAACGCUGUGAACUGAAACAUCUCAUUAGCAGCAGGAAUAUAAAGAAAUUUCGAUUCCCUAAGUAGCGGCGAGCGAACGGGGAACAGCCCAAACCAAAGUGCUUGCACUUUGGGGUUGUAGGACUGAACAUUUGAGUUACCAAAGAACUUGAUAGUCGAAGGAUUUGGGAAAAUCCGCCAUAGAUGGUGAUAGCCCAGUAGAUUAAAUCAAAUUCUCUCAGUUCAGGAUCCUGAGUACGGCGGAACACGUGAAAUUCCGUCGGAAUCCGGGAGGACCAUCUCCCAAGGCUAAAUACUACCUAGUGACCGAUAGUGAACCAGUACCGUGAGGGAAAGGUGAAAAGCACCCCGGGAGGGGAGUGAAAUAGUUCCUGAAACCAUGUGCCUACAAUAAGUCAGAGCGCGUUAAUGCGUGAUGGUGUGCCUUUUGUAGAAUGAACCGGCGAGUUAUGAUCCCGUGCAAGGUUAAGACUAAAAAGUCGGAGCCGUAGCGAAAGCGAGUCUGAAAUGGGCGUUUUGAGUACGAGGUUAUAGACCCGAAACCAGGUGACCUAUCCAUGUCCAGGUUGAAGGUGCGGUAAAACGCACUGGAGGACCGAACCCGUGUAAGUUGAAAAUUGCUGGGAUGAGGUGUGGAUAGCGGUGAAAUUCCAAACGAACUUGGAGAUAGCUGGUUCUCUCCGAAAUAGCUUUAGGGCUAGCCUCGGAAUUAGGAUCAUGGAGGUAGAGCACUAUUUGGACUAGGGGCCCGUCUUGGGUUACUGAAUUCAGAUAAACUCCGAAUGCCAUUGAUUCAUAUCCGGGAGUCAGACGAUGAGUGAUAAGAUCCACCGUCGAAAGGGGAACAGCCCAGACCAUCAGUUAAGGUCCCUAAAUGUAUGCUAAGUGGAAAAGGAUGUGGAGUUGCAUAGACAACUAGGAUGUUGGCUCAGAAGCAGCCACCAUUUAAAGAGUGCGUAAUAGCUCACUAGUCGAGUGAUCCUGCGCCGAAAAUGUACCGGGGCUAAGCAUACUACCGAAACCAUGGAUGCGACCAUUAGGUCGCGUGAUAGGAGAGCGUUCUAAGGGCGGUGAAGCAAGAUCGUGAGGACUUGUGGAGCGCUUAGAAGUGAGAAUGCCGGUA